AGGUGCCACCUGCCCAGUGACCCCCUCCCCCCCUUCAACGGCCGCGGUAUCACUAACCGUGCAAAGGUAGCAUAAUCACUUGUCCCCUAAAUAGAGACUUGAAUGAACGGUCAAAUGAGGGCCAAACUGUCUUUUGAGGUCAAUCAAUGAACCUGAUCUUUCAGUACAAAAGCUGAAAUAAACACAUAAGACAAAAAGACCCUGUGGAGCUUUAAAUAAGGACCAUUUUUAAAUGGCCCUAUUUUUAGUUGGGGUGACUAUGGAAUAAAGUAAAACUUCCACGCAUAGGACCUACUGUCCCAGAAAGAUUCUACGCAUCAAUAUGAUAAUUUUUGAUCCAGAUACUGACCAACGAACCAAGUUACCCCAGGGAUAACAGCGCAAUCCUCUUCAAGAGCCCAUAUCACCAAGAGGGUUUACGACCUCGAUGUUGGAUCAGGGCCCCCAAGUGGUGCAGCCGCUACUUAAGGUUCGUUUGUUCAACGAUUAAUGCCCUACGUGAUCUGAGUUCAGACCGGA
This 519-nucleotide ribosomal RNA is filed under the name Chatogekko amazonicus. Its description in RNAcentral is "partial 16S ribosomal RNA". It matches the Rfam family "Bacterial large subunit ribosomal RNA", at positions 1850 to 2620 of the family's 2925-position model. The record is from RNAcentral. Lineage: Eukaryota; Metazoa; Chordata; Lepidosauria; Squamata; Sphaerodactylidae.